This is a long non-coding RNA of Talpa occidentalis (Iberian mole), 888 nucleotides long. RefSeq lists it as uncharacterized. The record is from RefSeq and is a predicted model, not a curated record. Lineage: Eukaryota; Metazoa; Chordata; Mammalia; Eulipotyphla; Talpidae. The transcript is spliced from 3 exons.
AAAGCUAAAGUUGUAAGUUCCUUCAGCAUUUUAAUAAAAGGUGUUAUAAAAUCCUUAAUACUUUUGCCCUCUGCUUAAUAAAGGAAAAGGACAGGGUCUGUGCGUGUCUUGAGUGACAAGGAAUUUGGAUGUCGGAGUACACAUCAGAAAAUAUAUGAACAAAAGGGGAUUCUUCAGAUGUUUUUAAGGAGCGAUGCACUAUUGUCUUGAUUUUACCUAUGCAAGAGAGAAGCAGAGAGAGCGCUGUAGUAUUUGGCCAAUGACCAAAAAUCAAAACAAAACAAAAAUUAAAAAAUAAACAACCAGACAAAAAACAAGAACGUUAACCAACUAUCAGUUUUUAAGAAAGACAGGUUACAAUGUAGUUUCUGUUCCCUUGCUCCUCCAGAAAUAAUCAUUGUCUUCAGGCUCAAGUUCUAUUCUAAUUUGAGGCACAACUUUUACUGGAGUUCUAGGAGGACUAGAGAAAAGAAAAAAAGAAAUGAUUAAAAAAAAAAAACAGAAAGAAGAGGACUGCAAGUGGGCAACACUGUCAUAAACUGAAGGACAAAAAGACAUGAAGAAAAUAUUCAGAUAUUCUACUGUUUUGAAAAUCAAGGAAAUCCUAUCAUGGGCAGCCUCAUGGAGAUGCCUCUAAGUUAAGGACUGAAUCCUCCUGCUAAUGGCCUCCUAUCCAAGCUCAGAAGAAGAUCCCUGGAUCCAGCCAAAUCUUUAGACUCAACCCCAGCUGAGAGCUUAGUGACAAUCUUGGAAGAAAUCCUUAGCCAGAACCACCCAAAUCUGCUGCUCCUAAAUUCCUUGAAUAUGUGCGAAAAGGCAUGCCUGUUGGUUUAAGUUGCUAAGUUUUGUGAUAAUUUGUUAUACAGCAAUAGGUAACUAAUAAACCCA